GAACGCUGGCGGCGUGCCUAAUACAUGCAAGUAGAACGCUGAAGGAGGAGCUUGCUUCUCUGGAUGAGUUGCGAACGGGUGAGUAACGCGUAGGUAACCUGCCUGGUAGCGGGGGAUAAUUAUUGGAAACGAUAGCUAAUACCGCAUAAUAGUAGAUGUUGCAUGACAUUUGCUUAAAAGGUGCAAUUGCAUCACUACCAGAUGGACCUGCGUUGUAUUAGCUAGUUGGUGGGGUAACGGCUCACCAAGGCGACGAUACAUAGCCGACCCGAGAGGGUGAUCGGCCACACUGGGACUGAGACACGGCCCAGACUCCUACGGGAGGCAGCAGUAGGGAAUCUUCGGCAAUGGACGGAAGUCUGACCGAGCAACGCCGCGUGAGUGAAGAAGGUUUUCGGAUCGUAAAGCUCUGUUGUAAGAGAAGAACGAGUGUGAGAGUGGAAAGUUCACACUGUGACGGUAUCUUACCAGAAAGGGACGGCUAACUACGUGCCAGCCGCCGCGGUAA
RNAcentral lists this ribosomal RNA (508 nucleotides) under uncultured Streptococcaceae bacterium. RNAcentral describes it as "bacterial SSU rRNA". It matches the Rfam family "Bacterial small subunit ribosomal RNA", at positions 31 to 523 of the family's 1533-position model. The record is from RNAcentral. Lineage: Bacteria; Bacillati; Bacillota; Bacilli; Lactobacillales; Streptococcaceae.